This is a long non-coding RNA of Lotus japonicus, 2396 nucleotides long. RefSeq lists it as uncharacterized. The record is from RefSeq and is a predicted model, not a curated record. The transcript is spliced from 2 exons. Lineage: Eukaryota; Viridiplantae; Streptophyta; Magnoliopsida; Fabales; Fabaceae.
CAACCCCAAGUUGACUUUUAGCCUGAAAAGUUGCAAUGGCCACAAGAUUCUACACCCUAUAACUAAUCAUGACUAUUUCAUGCAAUUAGCAUAGGUUUUCAAAAUGCGGAAGAACAUGACCGCAAGUAAGGCUAUUCCAUAUAGGAGCAUAUGUUGUUGUACCCAUCUGAAAAUCACAUAACUUUUUUGAAGUUUUAUCCUCAGGAUCAUGGGAAAUUACUCCUUCUCUACCUACAAUCAACACCGACAUUGAUGAUUUCUUCUUCUUCUUGUCUUUAGCCAUGCCAAAAAUGUAAAAGCUCAAAUAAACCCAGUUCCAAGCUAUAUGUGGGAAUUCAACUUGUAUGGGAUUAAGAUCAAAACGGUGCCUCAAUAACCAUCCAGAGUAAUCUUCCUUCAACUCAAAAAUAUCAUAAACACUAUAUUUAGAGUUUCCCGGAAGCAUCAAAUACAAACGUCCUACAAUCGGACAUCUAAAUUGAGAACAUGGGAGGUAGGGGUGGUGGUGAAGGAGAGGAUGUGUGAUGGGCCAUAAUACAUACCAGGCAUAUAGUUGGUGAAGAUAAGGGAAUUGGGGUAGCGUUGGCGUUGUUGAUGGUGAAGGGAAUGAGAGUCACGGAAUUGUUGAUCGGAGAUGAGUGUCUGCCACUGCUUCGAGACGCACUUCCAAUCGGACAAGGGGUUUCAACGACACCCGGAUUAGAAUCUCCCAUAACAUGUUUAUGUUUCCGACCACCUUCUCGCCGGCGGCCCUUGAGCGCACCUUUUUUCCCAUGCCGAUUUGCAAAAUAACAAAUAGGGUUUGUGUGCUGGGUUUUAUACACCAUUAACUCCUCAUUUAGUAUAUAUUAUAAAAAUUGUCAUUAAGUUUUUAUAUUUAAUUUAAAAUAUUGCUGAUUUCCGUUAAUAUGAGAUUUUGGUUUAAUUUUAAUUGAAACUUAACAACUUUCUGUUGAUGGUGGUUUUUUAGUAUAAAAAUAUUUAUAUUUAAAAUGAUUUAGAUGAAUUAAUUUGGAUACAUAGCCACUCUCAAGAUAUCACUCUCACAGUACAUUGUAAGUUCGGUUUCUUGGUGCAUUUCUUUGAAAAAAAAAAAUUGGUUUUCAUUUUCUUAUUGGUGAGGUAGAAGCUAUGGACAUCGAAACCCCAUUCUCAAAUUAAAUCGGUUUGUUAGAAGAGGAGCGCAACCAAGAAUGAACUGAAGAUGACCAGAUGUUUGAAUAUGUUCUUGCUAUAAAUUUUUUUUAUAUGCAAAUGUUAGUGGUUAGUUGUUAGUAAGUUAGAAAAUCCCUUCAAAUUUUCCUUCCAAGAUUCCAACCCUGGACAUUCCCCUCCCCAACCCUCAUGUUCUUGCUAUAUUUAAUGAGGAUACACCUGACCGAUGGGUGAAUAUGGCAAUGGUGAUUCCAAGAAAAACUGUUCUUGAUGUGAUUAAGCGCUACAAGAAAUUGAAAGAAGAUAUGUGUGAAUAGAUGUUUCACUGGACUGGACAGAAGAUGAACCCAAGCUCUUUCUGCUGGGACUUCUCAAGAGUGUGGUAAAGGGGAUUGGAGAAAUGUUGCUCGCAAGUUUGUUGUCACAAAGACACCAACCCAAGUAGCAAGCCAUGCUCAAAAGUUCUACAAUAGGCAAAAACUUUCUAAAGAAUGGAAAGAUGACAGUAAAAAGAGAUCUAGUAUUCAUGAUAUCACAUACACUUGAUAUUAUGGAAAAUACUACACCAAUUGAAGACAAGUCUCUUCCAAUAUUCCAAGAGUCUCAAAUAAUGCUUUCAUGGCCGCAACAGAUGAAGAACACUAGAUGUGCAGCCUGAAUGGAUUAAUUGUGACCACAACACUGAUCAGCUCAUGGUUUUCAAUCCAAGCAACUAUGAAAUAUUAUAUUGUCCAUAUUAUCUUCUCAAGUAAUGCCUUCACCACAACUGGAGAAGACUAACAUCCAAAAUCUACAACCAUUAAUGACAACAACGGUGAUCAACUCAUGGCUUUCAAUCCAAAUAAUGACUAUGAAGUUGGAGGGGGGCAACAGAAGAAGACUAGCAUCCAAAAUGUGCAACCUAAAUGGAUUAAUUGUGACUACAACAAUGAUCAUGGUUUUCAAUCCAAUCCAAGCAAAGAUGAAAUGACCAUGAUGUCUUCCCAAUACCAUGGAGUUGAAGGCGCACAAGAUCUAUACGACAUUUACUUUCAUUUUACUUGAGCUAAGCGACAAUCUUCGGGUUUUAAGAUGGCUUUCUAGCUAGUGACGUUAAUAAUGACGUUAUUUGGGGCAUUUAAUAUCUACAUCUGUAAUAAUGUCAACAUUGAUCAUGUAUAAUAACCAUUAUAUUUCUGUAUUCAUGGCCUGAAGCUACUUGAUUUAUGAACAUCAGUAAUGUUUCUUUCAUCAAAAGUAAA